RNAcentral lists this ribosomal RNA (443 nucleotides) under uncultured bacterium. Its description in RNAcentral is "partial 16S ribosomal RNA". It matches the Rfam family "Bacterial small subunit ribosomal RNA", at positions 338 to 795 of the family's 1533-position model. The record is from RNAcentral.
CCUACGGGAGGCAGCAGUGGGGAAUAUUGGGCAAUGGGCGCAAGCCUGACCCAGCAACGCCGCGUGAAGGAAGAAGGCUUUCGGGUUGUAAACUUCUUUUCUCAGGGACGAAGCAAGUGACGGUACCUGAGGAAUAAGCCACGGCUAACUACGUGCCAGCAGCCGCGGUAAUACGUAGGGGGCAAGCGUUAUCCGGAUUUACUUGGUGUAAAGGGGUUGUAGGUGGGGACGAAAGUCAGAGGGGAAAACCAAGGGCUCAAACUGUGGCCUGCAUUUGAAACUGAGUUUCUUGAGUAGUGGAGAGGUAGACGGAAUGCGUAGUGUAGCGGUGAAAUGCGUAGAUAUUAGGAGGAACACCAGUGGCGAAGGCAGUCUGCUGGACAGCAACUGACGCUGAGGCGCGAAAGCGUGGGUAGCAAACAGGAUUAGAUACCCUUGUAGUC